This 253-nucleotide ribosomal RNA is filed under the name uncultured bacterium. RNAcentral describes it as "partial 16S ribosomal RNA". It matches the Rfam family "Bacterial small subunit ribosomal RNA", at positions 524 to 776 of the family's 1533-position model. The record is from RNAcentral.
UACGUAGGGUGCGAGCGUUAUCCGGAAUUAUUGGGCGUAAAGAGCUCGUAGGCGGUUUGUCGCGUCUGCCGUGAAAGUCCGGGGCUCAACUCCGGAUCUGCAGUGGGUACGGGCAGACUAGAGUGCGGUAGGGGAGACUGGAAUUCCUGGUGUAGCGGUGAAAUGCGCAGAUAUCAGGAGGAACACCGGUGGCGAAGGCGGGUCUCUGGGCCGUAACUGACGCUGAGGAGCGAAAGCGUGGGGAGCGAACAGG